This 253-nucleotide ribosomal RNA is filed under the name uncultured bacterium. Its description in RNAcentral is "partial 16S ribosomal RNA". It matches the Rfam family "Bacterial small subunit ribosomal RNA", at positions 524 to 776 of the family's 1533-position model. The record is from RNAcentral.
UACGUAGGGGGCUAGCGUUGUCCGGAAUCAUUGGGCGUAAAGCGCGCGUAGGCGGCCCGGUAAGUCCGUUGUGAAAGUCAAAGGCUCAACCUUUGAAUGCCGAUGGAUACUGCCGGGCUCGAGUCCGGAAGAGGCGAGUGGAAUUCCUGGUGUAGCGGUGGAAUGCGCAGAUAUCGGGAGGAACACCGGUGGCGAAGGCGGCCCCCUGGUUGGAUACUGACGCUGAGACGCGAAAGCGUGGGGAGCAAACAGG